GAGAAAGCCGCCGGCCAUCAUCUCCGGUUGCUUUGCUACUCUCCGCUGACCUCUUUCCGAUCUUCUCUCAGUUUCCGGUAAGCCCAGAUCUGCUCUCUCUUAAACUUUUAUAUAUUUUUUCUGUUUCUUGUAGAUUGUUAUUGGAUUGAGCUAUGUGAAAAAGCUAAGAAAAUUGUGAGAUAUAUGCGGGCUUCUAUUUUGAGAUCUAUAGAAAAAGUGGUAAAAGAGAUAGGAAUUCUUGAUGGGAAAUGGGUAUUUUCUAUAUUUUGGAUGCAAAUUGUUAGAUGUAGCCAUUAUUGGGUUUUCAAAGGCUGAAUUUAGAAUGGUUCUUGAUUAAUAUAAUUCUGGAUCUGAUGAAUUGGAUCCCUUGUGAAGUUGAUCUGCUAUGGAUUUCCCUUGAUCUACUGUUUGAUUCCAUUUCAAAUGGUUUUGGAUGGUGCAAAAUAGCUCUCUUGUGGUGGCUUUUCAAUAAAAUCUAGAAAAAAGAAAAAGUAAUCUCAAGAAGAAAAAGCUUUGUUUCUGUCGGAAAUUGGAAUUGAUUCUCUCCUUUGUUUUUCUCCUUGGAUUUAUGAAUACCUAUAUGUAUGUAUAUAUAUGUGUGUCUGUGUAUGAAAUAUAUGUUAAGUUGAAAAUGAGCGUGGAGCACGAGCAAAUUAUGAUUAGUCUGAUUUGAUUGUGGAGCUUUGCUACUCUCUUUUUAGAUCUCUAGUUGGAUUAGACGAGAGGUUAAGUUGUAGGGGGAGAAGUAUGUUGUUUCAUUUAGAUUUGCUAGAGGUUUGCCCGAUGUUUAAGAUAUUCACUUUGGAUUCCCCUCUUCUGUAUUAAUGCUCUUUUUAAUUGGCAGUUGAAUAGAAAAUGGCUGACGGUGAGGAUAUUCAGCCCCUUGUUUGUGACAAUGGAACUGGAAUGGUGAAGGUCAGUUAUUCUUUUAACUUUUAUGUUUUGCAAAGAUGGAGUUAUGAUAGUUAAACGCUUUAUGUAACAUUUACCUUGUCAUAUUCUCAUUUUUUUUAAUGUUUUGGUGUACAAUUUUGAAAUGUAGGCUGGAUUUGCUGGUGAUGAUGCUCCUAGAGCUGUGUUUCCUAGCAUUGUGGGUCGUCCUCGACACACUGGUGUUAUGGUUGGAAUGGGACAGAAAGAUGCCUAUGUGGGUGACGAAGCUCAAUCCAAGAGGGGUAUCUUGACCUUGAAGUACCCAAUUGAGCACGGUAUAGUCAGCAACUGGGAUGACAUGGAGAAGAUAUGGCAUCAUACCUUCUACAACGAGCUUCGUGUUGCCCCCGAGGAGCACCCUGUUCUUCUCACUGAAGCACCUCUCAACCCUAAGGCCAACAGAGAGAAA
RNAcentral lists this long non-coding RNA (1342 nucleotides) under Nicotiana tabacum (common tobacco). RNAcentral's name for it is "long non-coding RNA (NTAB_LNC018148)". Lineage: Eukaryota; Viridiplantae; Streptophyta; Magnoliopsida; Solanales; Solanaceae. The record is from RNAcentral.